GGAAGGAUCAUUACCGGUUACCCGACACAAUUCGCGUUGUGUUCGGAGAAUCAUUCGAUUACCACAGACACGGCUUCGGCCGUCGGUCAGUCUCAGUUGAGUGUCAGUGCCGUCAGUUUGACCGUCGCUGGGGUCGGGCCUGAAAACCCGACACCGGCAAGAGGGCGGUCUGUUGAAUACCGGUUCCGUGCUUCCGGGGUACCUGUCUCGCUCGACCGUCCUUCCCUGUCGAGCGGGGUGAGCAGCGAAUCGCCGACCGUCUCCCUGUCGGCGAUUUGCGGCGACGGUUCAAAGAACCGGACGUCGGUGGCUGUGACGGGGCGCGCGUCGUUGCCUUCUCGCGACGAGCGUUUCCGUCCGGCUGCUGGCGAUCGGUCGCCCCAGAAGCCGUUUUUCUGUCGUCAUAUUUCGUACGGUCAUACUUUGCCACUGGUGCGUCGGUCGGCGGCAGCGACGAGUCGCCUUGUCGUCUGACGUCGGUACGGCGCAGCCUAGUUACCAAGUUACGCAAUACGAUACAACUCUAAGCGGUGGAUCACUCGGCUCGUGUGUCGAUGAAGAGCGCAGCCAGCUGCGUGAAGUAAUGUGAAUUGCAGGACACAUUGAACAUCGAUAUCUUGAACGCAUAUUGCGGCCUCGGGCAUUCCCGAAGCCACGCCUGUCUCAGGGUCGGUUGAACCUAUCUAUCGCCGGUUGUCCUCCCAUUGCCGGCGCAAUGGUCGUCGCGGCGCGCACGUUCUCGAAGCACGGUCGGUCGUUCUCAUUUGCCGACCGUGUUGCGCGCCACGUCGUCCGAAGUACAGACGGGUCUGCCGAUGCUACGCCGACCGCACGUCCUCGGUCCGCCAGUCGGACGGGGGCGGCGACUCGGAUCUCUCUGUCGGAGAAGCCGUUGCCCGUCGUGGCGGUACGGUUGGCGUAGGCGUUGGCGAUCCAACUUACUCGUGUUGUCGUGUAUUCUUUCUUCGACCUGAGAUCAGACGAGAUUACCCGCUGAAUUUAAGCAUAUUAAUAAGCGGAGGAAAAGAAACUAACCAGGAUUCCCCUAGUAACGGCGAGUGAAGCGGGAAGAGCCCAGCACCGAAUCGCACGCCGCAACUGGCGUCGCGAACUGUGGUGUUUAGGACGAGCGCAUGCACGGCGAGACGGCGUCCGAGUCCUCCUGAUCGGGGCUUUGCCAGAGCGGGUGUCAGCCCUCUACGGCGCCGGAUCGACGUGCCCGCCACGUCCUCGGAGUCGGGUUGUUUGAGAAUGCAGCCCAAAGCGGGUGGUAAACUCCAUCUAAGGCUAAAUACGGACACGAGUCCGAUAGCGAACAAGUACCGUGAGGGAAAGUUGAAAAGAACUUUGAAGAGAGAGUUCAACAGUACGUGAAACCGUUUAGAGGCAAACGGAGAGGACCGCAAAGUCUGCGCGUCGGAUUCAAUUCGCCGGCCGCGCGGCGUCCGUGCCGUGGCAUCCGCAAGGAGUUCGGUGCGGGCGUUGGAGCGCGCGGCGGCGGGUGCACUUUCGGCGCGCGGAGCGCCACGACCGGUUCGGUGGCGGUCAGAAGCCCUCGCGGAAGGUGACCGAUCCCUCGCGGGAUCGGUGUUAUAGCCGCGGGUGGCGUCGGCCCGUCGCCGGACCGAGGAAGACACGCGAGGCCGGUGGCGGCCGCCGUCGACUCGUUCGUCCGUUCGAUCUGUGGGGACUGUCGUCAGUGCCCGCUAACCGCGGGCGUUCGGUGUCGGCGGCCGGUCGUCGCCGGCCUGGGGUCGGUGGCGAAUCGGUCGGUCACCUGUCCGACCCGUCUUGAAACACGGACCAAGGAGUCUAACAUGUGCGCGAGUCAGUGGGUGAUACGAAACCUAGAGGCACAGUGAAAGCAAAGGCCGGCCCUCGCGGUCGGCCCGGGUAGGAUCCUUCGCCGCACGCGGCGGAGGCGCACUACCGGCCCGUUUCGGCCGCAACGUCGGCGAGGCGGAGCGAGAGCGUACACGUUGGGACCCGAAAGAUGGUGAACUAUGCCCGAGUAGGACGAAGCCAGAGGAAACUCUGGUGGAGGUCCGCAGCGAUUCUGACGUGCAAAUCGAUCGUCAAACUUGGGUAUAGGGGCGAAAGACUAAUCGAACCAUCUAGUAGCUGGUUCCUGC
Molecule: unclassified non-coding RNA, 2132 nt
Filed under: uncultured fungus
Lineage: Eukaryota; Fungi
Description: sequence contains 18S rRNA gene, ITS1, 5.8S rRNA gene, ITS2, 28S rRNA gene
Rfam family: Eukaryotic large subunit ribosomal RNA (bases 967-2132)
Source: RNAcentral